RNAcentral lists this long non-coding RNA (217 nucleotides) under Elaeis guineensis (African oil palm). RNAcentral's name for it is "long non-coding RNA (EGUI_LNC021525)". The record is from RNAcentral. Lineage: Eukaryota; Viridiplantae; Streptophyta; Magnoliopsida; Arecales; Arecaceae.
CUACAUAGACCUUUUAGUUGCAUGUUAGGUCGACGAUCACUAAAACCCGACUUGCAACCAUUAGACGAAGAAUUAGAAAAGACUCUUAGGACUAUUCGAGUUAGGAACAUGGCUGCACCUGGUGAGGCUAAUCCUCCACGCUCAUUGAGAGAAUAUUUCACUCCAUCCUCGUAUACCUACUCUCCAUGCAUUCAAGCACCUCUAGUAGAAGCUACCC